This 256-nucleotide ribosomal RNA is filed under the name uncultured Gammaproteobacteria bacterium. Its description in RNAcentral is "partial 16S ribosomal RNA". It matches the Rfam family "Bacterial small subunit ribosomal RNA", at positions 132 to 388 of the family's 1533-position model. The record is from RNAcentral. Lineage: Bacteria; Pseudomonadati; Pseudomonadota; Gammaproteobacteria.
UAAAGUGGGGGAUAACUAGCCGAAAGGUUAGCUAAUACCGCAUAAUGUAGUUAACUGGAAUGUUAAUUAAGAAAGGAUUUAUUCGCUUAUAGAGGAGUCUAUGGUUGAUUAGCUAGUUGGUAGGGUAAUGGCUUACCAAGGCGAUGAUCAAUAGCUGGUCUGAGAGGACGAUCAGCCACACUGGGACUGAGACACGGCCCAGACUUCUACGGAAGGCAGCAGUGGGGAAUUUUCCGCAAUGGACGAAAGUCUGACG